CUUCCAUGAAGCCGGAAUUGCUAGUAAUGGCAGGUCAGCAUACUGCCGUGAAUACGUUCCCGGGGCCCUUGUUACACACCGCCCGUCACACCAUGAGAGUUGGGGAUACCCGAAGCCUGUGAGCUAACUUUAUAAGGAGCAGCAGUCGAAGGUAGAAUCAAUGAUUGGGGUGAAGUCGUAACAAGGUACC
RNAcentral lists this ribosomal RNA (190 nucleotides) under uncultured bacterium. Its description in RNAcentral is "partial 16S ribosomal RNA". It matches the Rfam family "Bacterial small subunit ribosomal RNA", at positions 1315 to 1500 of the family's 1533-position model. The record is from RNAcentral.